This is a long non-coding RNA of Oxyura jamaicensis (ruddy duck), 494 nucleotides long. RefSeq lists it as uncharacterized. The transcript is spliced from 2 exons. NCBI's taxonomy places the organism in Eukaryota, Metazoa, Chordata, Aves, Anseriformes, Anatidae. The record is from RefSeq and is a predicted model, not a curated record.
CCAGGUGCUGUUGUGCAGCAGUUUUCUUCCCUUUUCUAAAUAUGUUUUCCAGAGACCCAACCAGAAUUGUUCACUGGCUUAGCUUUGGCUAGUGGCAGGUCUCUUUUGAAAACCACCUGGAACUCACUCUUAUCUGACAUGAGGCAGCUUCUGGGCUCUGCCCCCAGAUCCAACCCCUGCAUCCCCUGCACUACCAUAACACUACCAUGUAAACGCAAUACAGGUUCCAACCAAAACAGAUGCUGUUAUAAUUUGAAGAACUAGAGAUGGCCAAAUGAGGCUGUGUGGUUGUGAAAAGUCCUUCAUCUUCACAUCAGUAAAAUGUUCAAGCCUUUGGGGUUCCAGCCAGGGUGAUUUCUGCAUGGCCAGCACCCUAAAAGCUGUUUUCUUUGACUGUUACCGAUACAGCAAAUGAAUAGCAAAAUAUCUAUUGAGAACCCACUCCCUGUGUCCAUAAACUGAAACAAUAUGGGAUUGCUGAUGCUUGAAUUAAU